Long non-coding RNA from Nerophis lumbriciformis (worm pipefish), 818 nucleotides. RefSeq lists it as uncharacterized. NCBI's taxonomy places the organism in Eukaryota, Metazoa, Chordata, Actinopteri, Syngnathiformes, Syngnathidae. The record is from RefSeq and is a predicted model, not a curated record.
UUCCCUGGUUUCGUAUGAUUACACAUUGUGGACGCUCUCCCGCCGCACGUUUCAACCGGAAGUCUUUGCUGUUCUCCAGCAUUCUUUUUUCUUUUUUUUCCAGCAUUCCUAGUCUUUUUGUUUUGUUUGAGCCAUGAAGUACACUUGACCUGCACGUCGCCUCCCGGGAUUUCUGCAUGUCGGGAACACGCCAACAAUCGCCGUCAUGUGACCAGAGCGUCACGGAAGAGAGGGGAAACAAGCUCAACCUACAAAAAAAACUGCAGCACUUUCUCUGUCAACCUUCUCUGACAUUUACAUGAACCUCCCUUCAAAUCCUCUGGAGAAAUAACCUUUAUGGAGGUAUUCUAGCAGCACGGGCUUCUCUUUCUGCCAGCGGCCAUUUAGGAAGGCGGUGAGAGCCUGCUCCUUGAUCAAGUCGCCAUCCACGAAGGGGCCCCACGUCUCAAACACCUCCAGGAACCUGAACGGAUUCACAAGUCUGGAACCUGACGGAGAAUUCCCAGUUAACUUGGAAAUGCAACCACGGCCUGCGGUGUGAGAGACCGCAAGCAGACCACAUCGCUGACGGAACAGUUGGUCCUCUUGGCAAAGUCUUUGCCCAGCUUCAGGGCGUCGUGUCUGAGAGAUCAAGAACCUUGAAUUAUUGUUAUUGUUUUGUUGUUCUAUUUGUUGUCCUGUGUUAAAAUACAUCCUGAAAGAACUUUAGAUAUAAGUAAAUAUUAUAUUUAAAAUACAUCCUGAAAGAUCUUUAGAUAAAAGUAAAUAUUAUAUUUAAAAUACAUCCUGAAAGACCUUCAGAUUAAAAGUAAAUAUUA